CAGCAGCCGCGGGAAUACGGAGGGUGCAAGCGUUAUCCGGAUUUAUUGGGUUUAAAGGGUCCGUAGGCGGACUUAUAAGUCAGUGGUGAAAGCCUGUCGCUUAACGAUAGAACUGCCAUUGAUACUGUAAGUCUUGAGUAUAUUUGAGGUAGCUGGAAUAAGUAGUGUAGCGGUGAAAUGCAUAGAUAUUACUUAGAACACCAAUUGCGAAGGCAGGUUACCAAGAUAUAACUGACGCUGAGGGACGAAAGCGUGGGUAGCGAACAGGAUUAGAUACCCGCGUAGUCCCUGUCUCUUAUAC
This 301-nucleotide ribosomal RNA is filed under the name uncultured bacterium. Its description in RNAcentral is "partial 16S ribosomal RNA". It matches the Rfam family "Bacterial small subunit ribosomal RNA", at positions 509 to 807 of the family's 1533-position model. The record is from RNAcentral.